Molecule: ribosomal RNA, 1478 nt
Filed under: Synechococcus sp. Suigetsu-CG2
Lineage: Bacteria; Bacillati; Cyanobacteriota; Cyanophyceae; Synechococcales; Synechococcaceae
Description: 16S ribosomal RNA
Rfam family: Bacterial small subunit ribosomal RNA
Source: RNAcentral
AGAGUUUGAUGCUCGCUCAGAAGAACGCUNGCNGCGUGCUUUACACNUGCAAAUUCGAACGCACCUUUCGGGUGAGUGGCGGACGGGUGAGUAACGCGUGGGAAUCUGCCCUCAGGAGGGGGAUAACGGCUGGAAACGGCCGCUAAUACCCCAUAUGCCGAGAGGUGAAAUGAAUUUCGCCUGAGGAUGAGCCCGCGUCUGAUUAGCUAGUUGGUGUGGUAAUGGCGCACCAAGGCUUCGAUCAGUAGCUGGUCUGAGAGGAUGAUCAGCCACACUGGGACUGAGACACGGCCCAGACUCCUACGGGAGGCAGCAGUGGGGAAUUUUCCGCAAUGGGCGAAAGCCUGACGGAGCAACGCCGCGUGAGGGAUGAAGGCCUCUGGGCUGUAAACCUCUUUUCUCAAGGAAGAAGAUCUGACGGUACUUGAGGAAUAAGCCACGGCUAAUUCCGUGCCAGCAGCCGCGGUAAUACGGGAGUGGCAAGCGUUAUCCGGAAUUAUUGGGCGUAAAGCGUCCGCAGGCGGCCUUGUAAGUCUGUCGUUAAAGCGUGGAGCUUAACUCCAUUUCAGCGAUGGAAACUACAAGGCUUGAGUGUGGUAGGGGCAGAGGGAAUUCCCGGUGUAGCGGUGAAAUGCGUAGAUAUCGGGAAGAACACCAGUGGCGAAGGCGCUCUGCUGGGCCAUAACUGACGCUCAUGGACGAAAGCCAGGGGAGCGAAAGGGAUUAGAUACCCCUGUAGUCCUGGCCGUAAACGAUGAACACUAGGUGUCGGGGGAAUCGACCCCCUCGGUGUCGUAGCCAACGCGUUAAGUGUUCCGCCUGGGGAGUACGCACGCAAGUGUGAAACUCAAAGGAAUUGACGGGGGCCCGCACAAGCGGUGGAGUAUGUGGUUUAAUUCGAUGCAACGCGAAGAACCUUACCAGGGUUUGACAUCCUGCGAAUCCCUUGGAAACGAGGGAGUGCCUUCGGGAGCGCAGUGACAGGUGGUGCAUGGCUGUCGUCAGCUCGUGUCGUGAGAUGUUGGGUUAAGUCCCGCAACGAGCGCAACCCACGUCGUUAGUUGCCAGCAUUCAGUUGGGCACUCUAGCGAGACCGCCGGUGAUAAACCGGAGGAAGGUGUGGAUGACGUCAAGUCAUCAUGCCCCUUACAUCCUGGGCUACACACGUACUACAAUGCUACGGACAAAGGGCAGCAAGCUCGCGAGAGUUAGCAAAUCCCAUAAACCGUGGCUCAGUUCAGAUCGUAGGCUGCAACUCGCCUACGUGAAGGAGGAAUCGCUAGUAAUCGCAGGUCAGCAUACUGCGGUGAAUACGUUCCCGGGCCUUGUACACACCGCCCGUCACACCAUGGAAGUUGGCCACGCCCGAAGUCGUUACUCCAACCCGCAAGGGAGGAGGAUGCCGAAGGUGGGGCUGAUGACUGGGGUGAAGUCGUAACAAGGUAGCCGUACCGGAAGGUGCGGCUGGAUCACCUCCU